RNAcentral lists this ribosomal RNA (763 nucleotides) under uncultured Streptococcus sp. Its description in RNAcentral is "bacterial SSU rRNA". It matches the Rfam family "Bacterial small subunit ribosomal RNA", at positions 28 to 776 of the family's 1533-position model. Lineage: Bacteria; Bacillati; Bacillota; Bacilli; Lactobacillales; Streptococcaceae. The record is from RNAcentral.
GACGAACGCUGGCGGCGUGCCUAAUACAUGCAAGUAGAACGCUGAAGGAGGAGCUUGCUUCUCUGGAUGAGUUGCGAACGGGUGAGUAACGCGUAGGUAACCUGCCUGGUAGCGGGGGAUAACUAUUGGAAACGAUAGCUAAUACCGCAUAAGAGUAGAUGUUGCAUGACAUUUGCUUAAAAGGUGCAAUUGCAUCACUACCAGAUGGACCUGCGUUGUAUUAGCUAGUUGGUGAGGUAACGGCUCACCAAGGCAACGAUACAUAGCCGACCUGAGAGGGUGAUCGGCCACACUGGGACUGAGACACGGCCCAGACUCCUACGGGAGGCAGCAGUAGGGAAUCUUCGGCAAUGGACGGAAGUCUGACCGAGCAACGCCGCGUGAGUGAAGAAGGUUUUCGGAUCGUAAAGCUCUGUUGUAAGAGAAGAACGAGUGUGAGAGUGGAAAGUUCACACUGUGACGGUAUCUUACCAGAAAGGGACGGCUAACUACGUGCCAGCAGCCGCGGUAAUACGUAGGUCCCGAGCGUUGUCCGGAUUUAUUGGGCGUAAAGCGAGCGCAGGCGGUUAGAUAAGUCUGAAGUUAAAGGCUGUGGCUUAACCAUAGUACGCUUUGGAAACUGUUUAACUUGAGUGCAAGAGGGGAGAGUGGAAUUCCAUGUGUAGCGGUGAAAUGCGUAGAUAUAUGGAGGAACACCGGUGGCGAAAGCGGCUCUCUGGCUUGUAACUGACGCUGAGGCUCGAAAGCGUGGGGAGCGAACAGG